This 253-nucleotide ribosomal RNA is filed under the name uncultured bacterium. RNAcentral's name for it is "partial 16S ribosomal RNA". It matches the Rfam family "Bacterial small subunit ribosomal RNA", at positions 524 to 776 of the family's 1533-position model. The record is from RNAcentral.
UACGGGGGGGGCAAGCGUUGUUCGGAAUUACUGGGCGUAAAGGGCUCGUAGGCGGCCAACUAAGUCAGACGUGAAAUCCCCAGGCUCAACCUGGGAACUGCGUCUGAUACUGGAUGGCUUGAAUUCGGGAGAGGGAUGCAGAAUUCCAGGUGUAGCGGUGAAAUGCGUAGAUAUCUGGAGGAAUACCGGUGGCGAAGGCGGCAUCCUGGACCGACAUUGACGCUGAGGCGCGAAAGCGUGGGUAGCAAACAGG